GAAAACAUAUCCAACUGUUGUAGAAAUUAAUUUGCACUUGAACAUUACAGGCCAACAAGUGGACAUGUUAGAACAGAAGAAAGGAACACAGCAAAAACACAUUUGAAUGCUCCAGCUGAAUAGUGGUGUACAUUUUGUUUACCGGAUUAUAUACUGAUCUAGUUAGCACAGUUCUCAAUUGUUUUGGUAUGCUGCCUGCUCUUUUGUUGCCAGGGGUUACUAUCCUCGAGCCCUGUGCAAGCAAAACAUCUUUUGUUGAGAUCCAUGCUUCCAAUUGCUCAUAACUUUCUUACAGCCCAUGUAUAUUCUGAGACAAAACUGUUGGCAUAUUCUAUUGUAGUUGAUGAACUGAUACUGGAAAUGGAAAAUUUGACAACAGCUGAAGCGGAUAUGAAGACUGUUGACAUGCUCUGGGUUUUAGUUUCAGGUGGCUGACUCGUUUGUAACUUGCAUUUCAAUGUUUUCAUAUUUAAAUAUGCAGUUUUACCUUGUUCCAUACCUAAAUCUGGAGAUAGAUAUCAACUGUUACAAUUGAUCAAUCUCCAGCUAUUUUAUGAGUUCUUCUAUCACUCUAUUAUUGCAUGAUUUUCCUCAUGCAUGCACUGUUGUGUAUGCACCUAUUAGGCUAUUACCUUGCACAGGGCGGUACACUUGCAUGGUUAGUGCUGUAAAACAGAACAGAAUGGCUAUGUAGGUCAUAGAAGGUACCACACACCAUUAUUGUUUGUGGAAGAUUAUCGUGCUGGGCUAUACGCACAUGAAUUACAGGAUAGAAAUAUGGGCUAUCUGCACAUGAAUUGCAGGACUGAAAUAGGAAAGAACACAGCAUUCGCCAGGUUACUUCACAGACCCUCUGCAUUUGAUAAAGAGAGGAUAUGGGACAUUUGUAGGUCGUGAAAUCCACAAGCCAUGUGCGGACGUGUUUAAGCUAUAAUGCCUAUGUCCCGAAUUGGCCACAAGUGGAAUGACUUGUGUCGAAGAACUGCAAAUUUUCAAGCAUUAACCACUUUUUUUUUUAAUCUUUUCCACCCUUCCCCCUCAUUGAUCCAGCUAAGAAUCCAAUCAUGGAUGAGUUGCUCCAAAACUCUCUCCCCCGUGUUCUUUUUUUUUUUUCCCUUUUUUCUAAUCCAUUUUAAGUUUGUCAAAAUUAGACUGCUAUGCUUUGUUAAGAACAUUAACCACCACCAGCAGAUCAUUCCUUCCUAGCGCCAUUUCCCGAAACACAGAAAAGGAACACCCACUGGUUGGACUUAUAUUGCAUUAGGGAACAAUCAGCCACAGGUAAUUCAAUUAACCAAGAGAAGCAACUUUCCCUAUCGAUGGCAAAAGCUCAUACUUACAUGCUUCAGUAGAAGCGGAAGCCCAAGAAGGGCCCAGGCAGAAAACAUGUCAGUCAACAAUUAAACGCACAAACCCAGAAUGCUUAAACAAUAAAGAAAACACACACACGCACAAACAUGAUGAUUCACCAAGAGGAACAGAGUGGCCAUCACUCAGGCCAAGUAAACAAAUUCAAAAUACAGAAUUCCUUUUGCUUAAAAUUGUAGUUGACUCGCGAACACAGUAAUUUACCAGGGGAGCUAUAAUUCCUGUAUAAGAGACACUCAUUGAUACACUCAACUUGGGCAUGCAGCUCAUACAUAGCUGUCAAUCAAUGACUUCCUCAUCUCAUCAACAAUGGCACUAGGUUGAGCUUCUCUUAACUUGAAAACGCUCUCUAUAACAGACAAUUCUGUUGCGGUAGUGUCAGAUCCACAAAAGGCUGUCCAGUCAUUAACUGUCAGGCCAGCAGCGAUUACUUCACUACCACGAUUCACUGUCCCUGCCACCAGUGGAACCUGUAGGAGCGUAGAGAGUUCAUCUAGGUCCUCUAUGGACGUAUGAGGAUGCACCUGAGCAACAACAGAUUCAGUGAGAAACAGACACGUGCUCUUAACUCUAACUUCAUAUUUCAUUAGCACAAAUCACAGAAUUAAGGAGUUUUAUAUCCGUUCAAAUGUUCACUAAGUACAAGGUGCACUGCUUACCAGGCCACCCCUAUUUGAAAAUGCACAAUAGCUGCCCACCAAAAUAUUUCCAGCAAUUGUCUGUCUAAAAACUUCUACUCCAAGAACAUCUGCAAUCAUCUCCUCAGUUUCCUAUGAGAAGACACAGCACACCAAAAUUACCAGCUUAAUCAAUGAUUAAAAUAAGCUCAUUUUGAUUUAGACAGUAUAUCAUGCUCUACCCUUCCUGAAAAAAGUUAUAACCAGACAGAGAAAAGCUGAAUAAUUAGCAUAAAAUUAAUAAGGUAGAUUCCAAGUGAAAUAUCAAAUUGCCAUUGAAGAAGCAAAAUUUGAAACAAGUGCAGAAAGCAUCCAGCUGAAUAUCACCACAACCUAUUUGAGGCUUUUACCAAGAGGGAAAUGCAUGCAUACAACAAGAACUGCUGUCAGCAUUGAGAAGCAUGCAUAGACUUCAGAUUUGUCACAUGACAGGCAUAGGAUGUACAGGCAUAUAGAUAAACAUAGGGAGGAAGAGUCUAGAUGACACAUGCAAGUGUUUCAAUCAGGUCAAUUGCAUUCCCAGACAAUAUAAGAAUUGGAAAAGCACUGCUUUAUUAGGUAUAGCAAAAUUGCCACUAACUUUUUCACAUAAGAUAUAUGGUAUCCAAAUCAUUAAGCAUGUUAUUAUCAAGGGAAAGGACAAUAUUACCCUGUCGAGAUCGGUGUGUGUAAGUGCAACAUGAUCGUUGCAGGCAAUGCAGUUUCCCAAUGCAGAAAGUCUCUCAUCAAUGCGCUGAACAACAACUGAAUCUGGUAGACUAUUCCUCAAAUGCUGAAGUUCUUUAUCACAUAUAAUGUAAAUCAAAGUCAGAACCUUGAAAGUCCAUAACACAUCCACAAGCAAAGGUAGAUAAUUCUCAUAUGCACCACAACUUUUUUACGAACAAAUAGUGAUCUUAUGAUGACAUGUAAUACGUCAUCAAUUAAAUCCAACAAAAACAUGGUCAACCAACCCAAGAAGAAGACAAAUGAAAAAGGAAAAGAACAAAGAUUAUACAUUGCACAGUGUAGCUGAAUAUCAAUACUUGAAAGGAAAAUUAUUUGCUUAAAAAUUUUAAAGCUGUGAAUCAAAAGAUACACAAUAACUGUACUAGCAACAAGUUCAUGAAGUUGUUACCUUGAUCGGUGGUAGUAUGCGGUAAGAGAAGCCCAUUCUUGUUUCCUAAAUGAAAAAAGGGGGAAAGUUAUCCUAUCUAAACAGUCAUUCCAAUGGUACUCAUGUCUCUACAAGCAAAAUAACUCUAAGAGCCUUCUAAAGUCCUCACCAGCACAAAGUCUUCCAAUGAUCCUAGUGCCACCAAUCGCGGUCUUCACUACCGGAAUUACAUCAGCCAAUUCUGCCUCAAACGUACUACAAUACACAAUAUAUAGGUUACACACAAGAAAAAAGAUUUGCUGAAGAAAAAGGGAAAAUAAAUUUUAUCAUGUUAGUAGAGUAGCUUGAAGCGAACCUGUAGAAGUUCUCAGAACCUCCAAUGGCGACCAAGCAAUAAGCAUUGGUCAACUUAGAAAAAACUCCAACUUCGCAUGAAUUCUCAAAUUGCAAUCCUAAAAUUAAAAGCAACGAUAAUAAUUAUGAUAUUAAAGGAACAAUUUUCACGCCAUAAAUCAGCUAAAAUCAAUUCUUUUUUUUAACUCAAUGACUUAUUUGAACUGGAAUACUCACUGGUAGCCAUGAUUCCAAGGAUAUCAAACAAAUAUAAACACCUACUCGAUAUUAGAUCUGAAAAGGGAAAAAAUCCAAGAAGAAAGGAUUGAACAUGGAAAGAAAGAAUAAAAAGCAGGAACAAAUAAGAAUAAUAAUGAAAUCAAUUACGGAAUUCUUACAAUCAAGAAAUCGAGGUUCUAUUGAAAAUUCGUAGAUUACCUAAAAGGGAUUUGCUGGGAGAAUGAUUUGAACGUUCAGCAGACGCUAAUCAACGAGAACAGAAACCCUGAUUAGUGUUUUAGGGUUAGGGCUUAUAACCAAGUCAAAAUAAAGAAUCCAAACGGUGAGAGGCUGAGAGCUGUUUUGUUUUCCUGGCUUUCCCCCUCUCUUUUAUUUAUUAUUUUUUUUUGGCGAUAAUUUGCGGAGGUUGUUUGGAGCCAGACGCUGAAAGGGCCUUAUAUGAAGGCCCCUUGUAUGUCGCUGUUGAGGAUUCAACUUCUCGACCAGUUUGGGCCAGAUUUAUUUAUUCCCCUUUCGGCCCACGCGGAAACUUCACCCUUGUAUCCCAAGAAAAAAAAAAAAUUUCUCAUCUUUGAAAUCAACAUUGACAGUCAACAUAUUAGACAUCUCACGUCAUUUCUUGUGAAGAACGUUGAAAGCUUGAUGAUCAAGAAAAGUUGGAUGUGAGCAGGCACAUAUUUGUAGUAUUGGUUUGUUGCAUAUAAUUUCACAUGGGUUUUGAAAUCUACCCUGAUGGAGUUAUUUUCUAACUACUUUGUUUUUGUACUUUGUAUUUAAAGAAUCAUACAAAUACAGCCAAAAAAUAGAUUGUCCAUUAGCAUAAUUCAAAACUCAUUUUGUAUAAUUUAUGCCUUCAGCUUCUUCAAAAUCAUGCUAAUUGCCAGUCAUUCUUUGCGACAAAUUCAGAACAUGUAAUUAGGUAAACUCAGCGUAUUUAACCAAAUGCUAUCUCUUCCUUUAAAAUUGUCUUACCAAAUAUGCCAGGUUAAGUCUGAGUCUCAAAAGAUUCAGGCACUAUUUGGAUUGAGGGAAUGGGAGAGGAAUCGAAGAAAUUUGGUUUUUGUUGUUUGGAUUGACUUUUAAGUAGGGAAAGGGUCUAAUAAUUUUGUCGAAAUAUGGUUUUCACUCAAAAAUGGGCGGAAACGAGGGAAAUGAAAAUAAAUUAAUUUCAAUAAUUUUAAAUUUUUUUAAAAAAGAUCAAUUUUGUCUAUAUUUUCUGGUAAUUAAAUACUUGGUCUUUUACUUUCCUUUCUCUUCCUCUUCAAUCCAAACAAAAAAUUAGUAUUUUCUUUCAUUUCCUUCCAUACUUAAUCCAAACAAAAUAGAUGGACAUCACUUUUCUCUACUCUCCUUUCUUUUCUUUUCCAUUAGUAUCCUUUUCUUUCCCUUCCUUUCCGUCAAUCCAAACGGUGCCUUAGAAAUUAUGGGAUUAAUCGAAUUCAGCCUUGGGCAUGCAAGCAAAAAAUACAUCUCCGAGUUGUAUUCAUGUAGCCAAGUAUACAACCUUUGGCCUUCGAUUGACCAAUCCAAGUCCAGCCUUUUAUCCUUGAAGACCAAAAACAAAUAGGAAAAAUUUUUAAAGGAAUAGGAAAUCCUCCGUGCUCCAGUGCAAUAUUCUUAUGAGAAUUGAAAAUGAGAGAGAGCUUGUAUUCUAUAUGCGCAUUAUGUCGACAUGAUCAUGAAUGUUAUUGUUGCAGUAUCGUUGCUCAGCAUCCUGAGAAUGAUGAAAAUCUCACAAAACCCAAUAUUUACAACAAAAGAAUAGCCACAGAACUUUUUUUUAAAAAAAAAAUUUAAACAAAAACAAUGAAAACAUAGAACAGGCCAGACUGAUGAUCGAUCAAAAUCACCCAUUACUACAUAAAAUUCGAGAAUUUAAAAUCGUUCUGAUGCCCGUAUCUGCAAGUGAAAGAUUGGCUUCGAAAGUAUUCCACCUCCUCUUGUUGCCACUUUCCAUCAUCAAAGUUCUUAGAGCAGCUAAAGCUAUCAUAUAUAAUUCAACAGCUCGUGUCUUUCGCUUUCCUUUGCACACGAUGACUUCUUUAGAACUACCUACUCCUUCAGCUGUGGUGGCCUGGAUUAGCCUCUCCAAUAGAUGUUUUAUUGUACUCAGCCUUCCAUUGGCUCCAAAGAAGUUACUGCCAUGAACCAUCUUUCUGGUUCAUGCUAACUUGUUCAAGUGAUUUCUUUUCCAUCGCAAACAGAAUUGUUUCACCAAAAGUUACUUAUACCAUGGUCCUGGAGGCAGUGAAAUAAAAGAAGAUUCCACAUGUUUUUCCCUUAUCACAAUGCAUUAGUGAUUAGCCACCCACCCAGGACUAUUCAUCUCCCUAACCUGGAGUAAAUAGCUUUUUGUAAAAAAGAUGAACCCUAGAAAUCUUCACCAACCACUACUUUCCAUAAUGCCAAAUCCAUAUCUCCAUCCCAACCAUUUUAUAUUUCAUCUGCAUUACUAUUAACAUCAAGGGGUUCAUUCAUACAACAGUUCCCAGAGUUAAGACUUAGGAAUUGAGACAAAUUUAGUACAGCACAAAAUCACAAAUUCACCUCUAGAUAUUCAUAGCAUCUAGCUUCAUUUUAAAGCAACAACUCGGCAGAAUGCACAGAAAUAAGCUUAAAAUGCGAGCAAAAAAGUUAAGGUGGUGCUUAUGUUAUAAGAAAGGUACAUGCCAAAAGCUACAGUGGCGGCGGAGACGGAGUCGCGUAAUAGGCGGAUGGGGACGGUGGUGGAGAGCUUGAAUGCGCUCGCGGGAUCAUCUGAGCUCAUAAUCAAAGCCGCACCGGCUCCGCCUCCCGCGGCUGUGGCCGCCAUCAACAGUUUCGCUCUGGUGCGCCACACCGAUCUCACCGCCAUUUAUUGGCCUUCCUUUUUAAUUUUUUUCCCCUUGUCCCCGCCUUUUGAUUGGCUUCGGGUUUUUAUUUAGAACUCCAAGAAAACGGGGUGGACAGAGGCGAAACUUCCUCUAUUAUCCACAUAUCUUCUGACAGCAGCUGAAGCGGAUAUGAAGACUGUUGACACGCUCUGGGUUUUAGUUUCGGGUGGCUGACUCGUUUGUAACUUGCAUUUCAUUGUUUUCAUAUUUAAAUAUGCAGUUUUACCUUGUUCCACACCUAAAUCUGGAGAUAGAUAUCAACUGUUACGAUUGAUCAAUCUCCAGCUUUUUUAUGAGUUCUUCUAUCACUCUAUUGUUUCAUGAUUUUCCUCGCGCAUGCACUGUUGUGUAUGCACCUAUUAGGCUAUUACCUUGCAUGGUUAGUGCUGUAGAACAGAACAGAAUGGCUAUGUAGGUCAUAGAAGGUACCACAC
RNAcentral lists this long non-coding RNA (7021 nucleotides) under Coffea arabica (coffee). Its description in RNAcentral is "long non-coding RNA (CARA_LNC004921)". Lineage: Eukaryota; Viridiplantae; Streptophyta; Magnoliopsida; Gentianales; Rubiaceae. The record is from RNAcentral.